Small nuclear RNA from Callithrix jacchus (white-tufted-ear marmoset), 138 nucleotides. Its record names the gene U4. It matches the Rfam family "U4 spliceosomal RNA". From Rfam's summary of the family: U4 small nuclear RNA (U4 snRNA) is a component of the major U2-dependent spliceosome. The structure of U4 snRNA from yeast and human has been reported. U4 snRNA presents a k-turn RNA motif in the 5p-SL related to recognition of Snu13 protein. NCBI's taxonomy places the organism in Eukaryota, Metazoa, Chordata, Mammalia, Primates, Cebidae. The record is from Ensembl.
AGCAUUGCGCAGCGGCGGCAUCAUAGCCAAUGAGGUUUAUCCAGGCGCGAUUAUUGCUAAUUGAAAACUUAUCCCAAUACCCUGCCGUGAGGGCUUGCAAUACAGUCGGCACUGGCAACUUUUGACACUCUACGGAGA